Scophthalmus maximus (turbot) is the source of this 701-nucleotide long non-coding RNA. RefSeq lists it as uncharacterized. NCBI's taxonomy places the organism in Eukaryota, Metazoa, Chordata, Actinopteri, Pleuronectiformes, Scophthalmidae. The record is from RefSeq and is a predicted model, not a curated record. The transcript is spliced from 3 exons.
CUUCUUACUGAUCCUGCUGAGGAUUCAAGGAGUCAGAACUCUUCUGAUGCUUCUGAACGGAACUUUGGCGAAGCAGGUGAACAGCUGUUCGUCACUUUGAGCCUUUUUCAAAAGUAAAACACACAUGUUGAGACCGUUGACAGGAACACAGCGGAGCCCCGAACCUCAUUCACGCCUUCCGAGACCUGAGCGGGGGACCAGUGGCCGCUCGCAACGCCUCUCUUGUACUUCCGGUUUCACGGACUUCAAGGCGGAAACGAGAGCGAGGCCCGGACCUCGGUGUCCACGAUGGCAGAUGCGUCUCGUCCAUAGACUGUACAUGAACAUACUCCCUCUCUCUCUCUCUUUCCGUCUCUCUUUUUCUCGAUGUUGGUUUACUUUCUCCCCGUCUGUCACUGUUCUGAUGUCAUCCUCCCUCCCUCCUCUCUCUCUCUCUCUCUGUGUCUCUCUGGGGACGAGGGAGGCGACGGCAGCGAGGUCGAUAAAGUGCUGGCAUCACCUCACAUCUCAUCUGAUCGCGCCACGGCGGAGAGGAAGGGUGAGAUUCCUGUCGUCACCCACCAGUGAGGCUGUGUUCCCUGGCGAGGACGUCUGCUGGGGAUGCGGAGGGGGUCGCUGUCCUCUCCUCGUCUCCUCCUCUGCCGCUCCUCCUCUUGCUCCUGCUCCUCCUCCCUCCGACUCCUCCUCUCCGCCCUCGGCGC